CCUACGGGUGGCAGCAGUGGGGAAUAUUGGACAAUGGGGGAAACCCUGAUCCAGCCAUGCCGCGUGUGUGAAGAAGGCCCUCGGGUUGUAAAGCACUUUCAGUGAGGAAGAACGCCUGGUGGUUAAUACCCAUCAGGAAAGACAUCACUCACAGAAGAAGCACCGGCUAACUCCGUGCCAGCAGCCGCGGUAAUACGGAGGGUGCGAGCGUUAAUCGGAAUUACUGGGCGUAAAGCGCGCGUAGGUGGCUUGAUAAGCCGGUUGUGAAAGCCCCGGGCUCAACCUGGGAACGGCAUCCGGAACUGUCAAGCUAGAGUGCAGGAGAGGAAGGUAGAAUUCCCGGUGUAGCGGUGAAAUGCGUAGAGAUCGGGAGGAAUACCAGUGGCGAAGGUGGCCUUCUGGACUGACACUGACACUGAGGUGCGAAAGCGUGGGUAGCAAACAGGAUUAGAUACCCGGGUAGUC
RNAcentral lists this ribosomal RNA (465 nucleotides) under Vreelandella stevensii. Its description in RNAcentral is "partial 16S ribosomal RNA". It matches the Rfam family "Bacterial small subunit ribosomal RNA", at positions 338 to 795 of the family's 1533-position model. Lineage: Bacteria; Pseudomonadati; Pseudomonadota; Gammaproteobacteria; Oceanospirillales; Halomonadaceae. The record is from RNAcentral.